This 761-nucleotide ribosomal RNA is filed under the name uncultured Bacteroidota bacterium. RNAcentral describes it as "bacterial SSU rRNA". It matches the Rfam family "Bacterial small subunit ribosomal RNA", at positions 71 to 827 of the family's 1533-position model. The record is from RNAcentral. Lineage: Bacteria; Pseudomonadati; Bacteroidota.
AGAUUCAAGACUUCGGUUUUGAUGAAAGUGGCGCACGGGUGCGUAACGCGUAUGCAACCUACCCUUAACUGGGGGAUAGCCCGGAGAAAUCCGGAUUAAUACCCCAUAGUAUCACCAGAUGGCAUCUGAAGGUGAUUAAAGAUUUAUUGGUUAAGGAUGGGCAUGCGUGACAUUAGAUUGUUGGUGAGGUAACGGCUCACCAAGUCUACGAUGUCUAGGGGUUCUGAGAGGAUGAUCCCCCACACUGGUACUGAGAUACGGACCAGACUCCUACGGGAGGCAGCAGUAGGGAAUAUUGGUCAAUGGACGAGAGUCUGAACCAGCCAUGCCGCGUGUAGGAAGACGGCCUUCUGGGUUGUAAACUACUUUUAUAUGGGAAGAAAAAAGCCUUGCGAGGCAAAUUGACGGUACCAUACGAAUAAGCACCGGCUAACUCCGUGCCAGCAGCCGCGGUAAUACGGAGGGUGCAAGCGUUGUCCGGAUUUAUUGGGUUUAAAGGGUGCGUAGGCGGAUCUUUAAGUCAGUGGUGAAAUCCUGCAGCUUAACUGUAGAACUGCCAUUGAUACUGGAGAUCUUGAGUAUACUAGAAGUAGGCGGAAUUUAUGGUGUAGCGGUGAAAUGCAUAGAUACCAUAAAGAACACCGAUAGCGUAGGCAGCUUACUGGAGUAUAACUGACGCUGAGGCCCGAAAGCAUGGGGAGCGAACAGGAUUAGAUACCCUGGGUAGUCCAUGCCGUAAACGAUGAUUACUCGAUGUUGGC